RNAcentral lists this ribosomal RNA (857 nucleotides) under uncultured bacterium. RNAcentral describes it as "bacterial SSU rRNA". It matches the Rfam family "Bacterial small subunit ribosomal RNA", at positions 9 to 873 of the family's 1533-position model. The record is from RNAcentral.
AGAGUUUGAUCAUGGCUCAGGACGAACGCUGGCGGCGUGCUUAACACAUGCAAGUCGAACGAUGACCUCCAGCUUGCUGGGGUGAUUAGUGGCGAACGGGUGAGUAACACGUGAGUAACCUGCCCUCCACUCUGGGAUAAGCACUGGAAACGGUGUCUAAUACCGGAUACGAGCUUCCGCCGCAUGGUGAGGAGCUGGAAAGAAUUUUGGUGGUGGAUGGACUCGCGGCCUAUCAGGUAGUUGGUGAGGUAAUGGCUCACCAAGCCGACGACGGGUAGCCGGCCUGAGAGGGUGACCGGCCACACUGGGACUGAGACACGGCCCAGACUCCUACGGGAGGCAGCAGUGGGGAAUAUUGCACAAUGGGCGAAAGCCUGAUGCAGCAACGCCGCGUGAGGGACGACGGCCUUCGGGUUGUAAACCUCUUUUAGUAGGGAAGAAGCGAAAGUGACGGUACCUGCAGAAAAAGCACCGGCUAACUACGUGCCAGCAGCCGCGGUAAUACGUAGGGUGCAAGCGUUGUCCGGAAUUAUUGGGCGUAAAGAGCUCGUAGGCGGUUUGUCGCGUCUGCUGUGAAAUCCGGAGGCUCAACCUCCGGCCUGCAGUGGGUACGGGCAGACUAGAGUGCGGUAGGGGAGAUUGGAAUUCCUGGUGUAGCGGUGGAAUGCGCAGAUAUCAGGAGGAACACCAAUGGCGAAGGCAGAUCUCUGGGCCGUAACUGACGCUGAGGAGCGAAAGCAUGGGGAGCGAACAGGAUUAGAUACCCUGGUAGUCCAUGCCGUAAACGUUGGGAACUAGGCGUAGGGUCCAUUCCACGGAUUCUGUGCCGCAGCUAACGCAUUAAGUUCCCCGCCUGG